Molecule: long non-coding RNA, 579 nt
Filed under: Homo sapiens (human)
Lineage: Eukaryota; Metazoa; Chordata; Mammalia; Primates; Hominidae
Description: HSALNT0393988
Source: RNAcentral
GGGGGAAAAGGCACUGCAUCCAAGCUUCCAUCUGCAACCAUUGAUUCUGAAGUGACCAGAUGCAAUGGCUCACAUCUGUAAUUCCAGCACUUUGGGAGGCUGAGGCAGGAGGAUCACUUGAGGCCAGGAGUUGGAGGCGAGCCUGAACAAAAGAGAAAGAUGCCAUCUGUAUAAAUACAUAAAUGCAUAAAUAAAUAUACACAUCAUACAAUAUUUUCUUUCAUUUAAAAAAACUUUAAAUCAUAUUGACAAGAAAACUGACCAACUACAUUAACAUUUGAUUCAAAAUGAUAUCCUACUUUAGCCUUAAAAAACUUGUUUUUUCAUAAGUGUUCAUGAUUUUUAAAGGAAAUCUAUAUUCAAAAAAAUAAUUUGCCACCAUCGAGUUUCCUCAAGAGAAUGUGCCAUCUACCAACACAUAAAUUUAAUUGCAUGCAGAUAUAAAUAUUCUCUGACUGGACAUUUUAAAUAGGCACAUCUCCACAAGAAGACUGUUCUGUAAAAUGUUAUCUAUUAUUUUGAUAAUUCAAACAAAUUAUAACAACAAUCGCAACAAUAAUAAACAAUAUUUCAGGCAAA